Molecule: transfer RNA, 77 nt
Filed under: Deltaproteobacteria bacterium
Lineage: Bacteria; Pseudomonadati; Myxococcota; Myxococcia
Description: tRNA-Arg
Rfam family: tRNA
About the family: Transfer RNA (tRNA) molecules are approximately 80 nucleotides in length. Their secondary structure includes four short double-helical elements and three loops (D, anti-codon, and T loops).
Source: RNAcentral
GCGCCCAUAGCUCAGUUGGAUAGAGCGUUGGACUACGAAUCCAAAGGUCGCAGGUUCGAAUCCUGCUGGGCGCACCA